Dreissena polymorpha is the source of this 827-nucleotide long non-coding RNA. RefSeq lists it as uncharacterized. Lineage: Eukaryota; Metazoa; Mollusca; Bivalvia; Myida; Dreissenidae. The record is from RefSeq and is a predicted model, not a curated record. The transcript is spliced from 5 exons.
GGUCGACUUUCUCCCGAUUUGUCUUAAUAGUGGUUUAUAACCCUUACCUAUUAUUUUAACAUUAUAUUUUCUUGAGUGUGAUCACAUGAUCAUAUCCGAGGGAAAAGGUGGAAGACAUUUUUAUGUAAUCUAAAACCACCAGUUAAAACUUCACUCUAGUGGUCAAUAUUGCACCAGUAGGGUGAGAGAGGAUUGAAGGAAGAGAAAGAGAAAAGGGGACUCAAUUCCACAAAUUGAUCCUUCGAUUGAGAUUCACUCUGGGAUACCAGUUAUUUCUUCUGCAUAAUUUGAUUAUGAACUUCUAACCUUAUUAAAAGAAGUGAACUUGGAAACUGUCUUGAAUUAUAAAUUUAUCUUGUGUAUUGGUUUACAACACCCGUAACCAAUGGUUACAAAUGGCGCCCAACGUAAAUUAUCCACAGAUGUAGGAAUCUGAUCAGACAAGCGCAUUCUUCAAGACCAUCGUCACCGGUAUACAGGCCUAGGCUCCAACUUGUACAUGUACAGGACAUCACGACUUAUCCGAAGGAUUUCUUCUAGAACCAACACUUCAUGUGGACAUUUAUUAACGCACAAAACUAUUGUGCAAUUAGGACUUGAAACAGUGUUAUUAUUUUAAUAAAUAUAUUGUGUUCUGGUGGCCAGAAAAAGAAAAACAGCAGAUUUCACCAGUAGGGUGAGAGAGGAUUGAAGGAAGAGAAAGAGAAAAGGGGACUCAAUUCCACAAAUUGAUCCUUCGAUUGAGAUUCACUCUGGGAUACCAGUUAUUUCUUCUGCAUAAUUUGAUUAUGAACUUCUAACCUUAUUAAAAGAAGUGAACUUGGAAA